RNAcentral lists this ribosomal RNA (449 nucleotides) under uncultured bacterium. RNAcentral's name for it is "bacterial SSU rRNA". It matches the Rfam family "Bacterial small subunit ribosomal RNA", at positions 28 to 478 of the family's 1533-position model. The record is from RNAcentral.
GAUGAACGCUGGCGGCGUGCUUAACACAUGCAAGUCGAACGGGAAUUACUUUAUUGAAACUUCGGUCGAUUUAAUUUAAUUCUAGUGGCGGACGGGUGAGUAACGCGUGGGUAACCUGCCUUAUACAGGGGGAUAACAGUCAGAAAUGGCUGCUAAUACCGCAUAAGCGCACAGAGCUGCAUGGCUCAGUGUGAAAAACUCCGGUGGUAUAAGAUGGACCCGCGUUGGAUUAGCUGGUUGGUGGGGUAACGGCCCACCAAGGCGACGAUCCAUAGCCGGCCUGAGAGGGUGAACGGCCACAUUGGGACUGAGACACGGCCCAGACUCCUACGGGAGGCAGCAGUGGGGAAUAUUGCACAAUGGGGGAAACCCUGAUGCAGCGACGCCGCGUGAAGGAAGAAGUAUCUCGGUAUGUAAACUUCUAUCAGCAGGGAAGAUAGUGACGGUAC